Molecule: ribosomal RNA, 578 nt
Filed under: uncultured bacterium
Lineage: Bacteria
Description: bacterial SSU rRNA
Rfam family: Bacterial small subunit ribosomal RNA
Source: RNAcentral
UGCGCAAUGGGCGAAAGCCUGACGCAGCAACGCCGCGUGGGGGAUGAAGMUUUUCGGAUCGAAACCCCUCUCGAUCGGAACGAAUCUCCUCCUGGUAAAUAAUCAGGAGGAUCGACGGUACCGAGAGAAGAAGCCACGGRUAACUCUGUGCCAGCAGCCGCGGUAAGACAGAGGUGGCGAGCGUUGUUCGGAUUUAUUGGGCGUAAAGCGAACGCAGGUGGUUCGGUAAGUCAGGGGUSAAAGUCCACAGCUUAACUGUGGCACUGCCUUUGAUACUACCUUUCUUGAGUGCAUGAGGGGGAAGCGGAAUUCCGAGCGUAGAGGUGAAAUUCGUAGAUAUUCGGAGGAACACCGGUGGCGAAGGCGGCUCCCUGGCAUGUAACUGACACUCAUGUUCGAAAGCGUGGGGAGCAAACAGGAUUAGAUACCCUGGUAGUCCACGCCCUAAACGAUGGGCACUAGGUGUGGGAGGUAUCGACCCCUCCCGUGCCGCAGAACGCAUUAAGUGCCCCGCCUGGGGAGUACGGCCGCAAGGUGAAACUCAAAUGAAUUGACGGAAUCCCGCGCCAUGGCGGCCG